Molecule: ribosomal RNA, 522 nt
Filed under: uncultured fungus
Lineage: Eukaryota; Fungi
Description: eukaryotic LSU rRNA
Rfam family: 5.8S ribosomal RNA (bases 191-340)
Source: RNAcentral
CUUGGUCAUUUAGAGGAAGUAAAAGUCGUAACAAGGUCUCCGUAGGUGAACCUGCGGAGGGAUCAUUAACGAAUGAUCAUCCUUGAUCUUCUACCCUCAAACCACUGUGAACAUGACAUGUGCUUCAGCGUCGAGRGGCGCUGCCUUUAUGCAUCGAGUCUUUAUAAUGUCUGUCUAAAAUCAAUGUCAAAACUUUCAACAAAGGAUCUCUUGGCUCUUGCAUCGAUGAAGAACGUAGCAAAGCGCGAAAUGUAGUGUGAAUUGCAGAACAUUGUGAAUCAUCGAAUCUUUGAACGCACAUUGCACCUCUUGUGAGAGAGGUAUGCCYGUCUGAGCGUCAUCAAAACCCAUAAAUCUCUGGAUUUGUGUUGGGCUCCGCAUCUGUGCGUUGCUUCAAAGUCAUGGUCUCUAACCUGCGGACGAGCUCCUCUUGGACCUGCCGCUGGUGUGACUCAUCUCUGAAUUUGACCUCAGAUCAGGUAGGAAGACCGCCUGAACUUAAGCAUAUCAAUAAGCGGAGGA